RNAcentral lists this ribosomal RNA (220 nucleotides) under uncultured bacterium. Its description in RNAcentral is "partial 16S ribosomal RNA". It matches the Rfam family "Bacterial small subunit ribosomal RNA", at positions 524 to 724 of the family's 1533-position model. The record is from RNAcentral.
UACGGGAGGGGCUAGCGUUGUUCGGAAUUACUGGGCGUAAAGGCGUACGUAGGCGGCUUUCGUAAGUUAGUAGGUGAAAAGCCCGGGGCCGUCAACCCCUAGGAAGUUGAGCCUUUUAAAGACUGCAUCGCUUGAACGUCGGAGAGGUGGAGUGGAAUUCCGGAGUUGUGAGAGGUGAAAGUUCGUAAGAUAUUCGGAAGAACACCAGUGGCGAAGGCGG